This 332-nucleotide ribosomal RNA is filed under the name uncultured bacterium. RNAcentral's name for it is "bacterial SSU rRNA". It matches the Rfam family "Bacterial small subunit ribosomal RNA", at positions 568 to 898 of the family's 1533-position model. The record is from RNAcentral.
CGCGUAGGCGGCCCGGAAAGUGUCCUGUGAAAGCCCCCGGCUCAACCGGGGAACGGCAGGGCAAACUCCCGGGCUUGAGGUCGGCAGAGGUGCCUGGAACUCUCGGUGGAGCGGUGAAAUGCGUAGAUAUCGAGAGGAACGCCGGAGGCGAAAGCGGGGCACUGGGCCGAUUCUGACGCUGAGGCGCGAAAGCGUGGGGAGCAAACAGGAUUAGAUACCCUGGUAGUCCACGCCGUAAACGAUGCACACUAGGUUCGGGUGUCUCUGACGGCUUCCGAGCCGCAGCAAAAGUGCUAAGUGUGCCGCCUGGGGAGUACGGCCGCAAGGCUAAA